UGCUUUGGCAGCAUCUGCUGUUGUUGAUGCGCACAACAUCUUCUAUGAUCUCCUACGAUGCAAAGUUGCACACUGGUCCAGCUGAACCGGAUUUCAAUAAGACUACGUCGUUUUGGAAACAACAGAAAAGAUUUGGAAGGCCCCACCACUGAGGAUGACCCAACAAUCGCGAUUUGGUGUUCCCAAUUCUCUGUUUCUCCUUCCCUUCCCUGCUCUCCCGCUCAAGUUUAAGCUCUCUACCAUACGCUCUGACCUACGGUGAUCGUCGGUCCUUCAAGCUACGGCAUGCUUGCUUACUUCUCAUUAUCGAUUUUGAAUUUGAUUUGGCUCCCUCUGGGCUCUAACCCUCAAGUUCCUCUAGCACAAACGACAUAGAGAACCCACUUUCUGUUGACUCGUUUACUCUUCCCUCCGUCUCUGGACAAAGCGACAGUCUGAAAUUGGUUUCUUCGCUGCCCUUUGAUUUUGAUUAUAAACUGGAUAUGUGCCUUUGUUUUGAAUGUUCCUGAAUUGCGUAUGCAUUUGUUGAUUAAUUGAGGCUUUGAGCCGUAGAUGAGGUUUGGUUUGUUAAUUUCGUGUAUGCUAGUUUACAUGGUUUGUUUAUUUUCUUUUUUGUAUAUUUACAAUUAGUUUGGCUGAAUUAAAUGGGAAAGUCGAAGUCUUUCACUUUUCUUCAAUAUCUCAUGAAAAAGGUGAACAACUUACUUUGAUUUCUGUUUGUGGUUAAUAACAGAUGGAAAGCAGUUUUGCUAAAGAGCUUUACUCAGAAAGUUUGCACCUGUCAAAAGUAGAAUUGGGUUCUUCGCAAACUGCCAAUUGUAAGCAGGAUUGAUAGUGGAAUUAGUUUUAGGCUGAUAUUUUCCUCUACAUUUUGUUGGUUAGUUUGUUAAUUUUCUUGUUUUAGAUUAAGACAUCUUGCCUAGUUCUGCGUUUUGACGAAGGUGAUUUGCAAGAUGAAGAUGGAUCUUUCUGGGGUGAUUCUGAUGAAGAAUUGGAUAAAGCAUCUGAAUUGGAUAGGGAGUGGGAGAGGAGGCGCGACCAAUUUCACACGGUGAUUAGAUAAUCUAAAGUUCCACUUUGCUCGUUAGUUUAUAGAUAUGAUAAUUUCUUUGUUAAUCUCAUUCUUGAUUGAUGACUGUUAGAUUGGAUAUCGUGACGGCCUCAUAGCAGGAAAAGAAGCUAUUGCUCAAGAUGGAUUUAACAUUGGUUUUAAGGAGUCAGUGCUUGAAGGAUACAAUUGGGGUAUGGUUAGAGGUGUUACGAGGUAAACCAAAUGAGUAUAUAUUAUAUAUUGAACUCUUUGACAUUGCUGUGGCUUUUUUUGUUUUCUAACUUCGGUUUAAAUUUUUUUUUCCUUUUCUAUUUUCUCUGGAACUCUAUACUCCAUAAAAGUGCACUUGCUUGCCUUCCAGAAGGGUUGAAAGAAAGGUUGAUUGAAACACAAGAAAAGAUGAACAAAUUCCAGACCUUGAAUGAAUCUGUGCAUUCUCUUUCAACAAUGGAUGCACUCAAAUUGUUUCAUGAUGAUAUAAUGGCAAAGAAAGAGCAUCUUAAGGCCACUUCUGAGGAGGCAAGUUCGCAAAAUGAUGGCUCAGACUGCAGUCUGGGAAAUUAUGUUGGAGAGCUUCAAUCACUUCUUCUGAAAACUCCUGCAAUUGAGUCGCAUUUAUCAGAAAAGUAAUUUUUGUACAUAACUUUGUUUGGAACACAUCUUUUUGUACUGAAAAUGGCAUAACGAAAAUCAUUAGCUCAUGACUUUGGUGGCAAGUAUUUGUUAUUAUGCUAUUUGUUGCUUCUGUAAGUGAUUCAUACCUGAGUAUUCCUUGCUGAUCUUUAUUGAGAAUUUCACUAAACAAAUCUCUUUUCUAUUUUUUUAGAAGAUCACGACAUGAUGUAGGUCGGAGAUAAUGUAAUUGUAAUUGUAGCAAUUUCAUUCAUAUGGUUAUGAAGAGAUUUGUGUAAAUUUU
This 1967-nucleotide unclassified non-coding RNA is filed under the name Hevea brasiliensis (rubber tree). The record is from RNAcentral. Lineage: Eukaryota; Viridiplantae; Streptophyta; Magnoliopsida; Malpighiales; Euphorbiaceae.